Molecule: ribosomal RNA, 83 nt
Filed under: Bradymonadaceae bacterium TMQ3
Lineage: Bacteria; Deltaproteobacteria; Bradymonadales; Bradymonadaceae
Also listed under: 2 other names
Description: partial 23S ribosomal RNA
Rfam family: Bacterial large subunit ribosomal RNA
Source: RNAcentral
GUGGUUAAGCGACAAAGGGCGUACGGUGGAUGCCUGGGCGUCUGCUAGCGAUGAAGGACGUAGAAGGCUGCGAUAAGCCACGG